This 216-nucleotide long non-coding RNA is filed under the name Sorghum bicolor (sorghum). Its description in RNAcentral is "long non-coding RNA (SBIC_LNC011896)". Lineage: Eukaryota; Viridiplantae; Streptophyta; Magnoliopsida; Poales; Poaceae. The record is from RNAcentral.
UGGCCUGGAUAAUUGGCUUUCAUCAUCAUGAUAUUUGCCUUCACGUGGAAUGACAUGCUUCAUGAUGAACGAGCAGAUGUCCUCAACUAUGUUGUCUAAAGCACGUUCGUCCAUGCGCUCCGUCGUCCCUUGCUUAUAUACCUGCAAAGAAAGUUUAUAAACAUUAUAUAUUUUAUGACUUCCAACUUUAAUAGACUAUUACUUAUAUUACCUUGU